AGAGUUUGAUCCUGGCUCAGGAUGAACGCUGGCGGCGUGCUUAACACAUGCAAGUCGAACGAAGCACUUUACCUUGAUUCCUUCGGGUUGAUUGGUACUGUGACUGAGUGGCGGACGGGUGAGUAACGCGUGGGUAACCUGCCCCAUACAGGGGGAUAACAGAUAGAAAUGUCUGCUAAUACCGCAUAAGACCACAGCGCCGCAUGGCGCAGGGGUAAAAACUCCGGUGGUAUGGGAUGGACCCGCGUCUGAUUAGCUAGUUGGUGGGGUAAAGGCCCACCAAGGCGACGAUCAGUAGCCGACCUGAGAGGGUGACCGGCCACAUUGGGACUGAGACACGGCCCAAACUCCUACGGGAGGCAGCAGUGGGGAAUAUUGCACAAUGGGGGAAACCCUGAUGCAGCGACGCCGCGUGAAGGAUGAAGUAUUUCGGUAUGUAAACUUCUAUCAGCAGGGAAGAAAAUGACGGUACCUGACUAAGAAGCCCCGGCUAACUACGUGCCAGCAGCCGCGGUAAUACGUAGGGGGCAAGCGUUAUCCGGAUUUACUGGGUGUAAAGGGAGCGUAGACGGCAUGGCAAGUCUGAUGUGAAAACCCGGGGCUCAACCCCGGGACUGCAUUGGAAACUGUCAGGCUAGAGUGUCGGAGAGGCAAGUGGAAUUCCUAGUGUAGCGGUGAAAUGCGUAGAUAUUAGGAGGAACACCAGUGGCGAAGGCGGCUUGCUGGACGAUGACUGACGUUGAGGCUCGAAAGCGUGGGGAGCAAACAAAAUUAGAUACCCUGGUAGUCCACGCCGUAAA
RNAcentral lists this ribosomal RNA (800 nucleotides) under uncultured bacterium. RNAcentral's name for it is "bacterial SSU rRNA". It matches the Rfam family "Bacterial small subunit ribosomal RNA", at positions 8 to 806 of the family's 1533-position model. The record is from RNAcentral.